This 442-nucleotide ribosomal RNA is filed under the name uncultured bacterium. Its description in RNAcentral is "partial 16S ribosomal RNA". It matches the Rfam family "Bacterial small subunit ribosomal RNA", at positions 338 to 795 of the family's 1533-position model. The record is from RNAcentral.
CCUACGGGGGGCAGCAGUGGGGAAUAUUGCACAAUGGGCGAAAGCCUGAUGCAGCAACGCCGCGUGAAGGAAGAAGGGUUUCGGCUUGUAAACUUCUAUUAACAGGGACGAAACAAAUGACGGUACCUGAAUAAGAAGCCACGGCUAACUACGUGCCAGCAGCCGCGGUAAUACGUAGGUGGCAAGCGUUAUCCGGAUUUACUGGGUUUAAAGGGUGCGUAGGCGGUUUGUUAAGUUAGUGGUUAAACUUCGGGGAUUAACCUUGAUUUGCAAUUGAUACUGUAAGGCUCGAGUGCAGACGAGGUAGGCGGAAUACGUUAUGUAGCGGUGAAAUGCUUAGAUAUAACGUAGAACACCGAUAGCGAAGGCAGCUUACCAGACUGAGACUGACGCUGAAGCACGAGAGCGUGGGUAGCGAACAGGAUUAGAUACCCCUGUAGUC